This 337-nucleotide ribosomal RNA is filed under the name uncultured Variovorax sp. Its description in RNAcentral is "bacterial SSU rRNA". It matches the Rfam family "Bacterial small subunit ribosomal RNA", at positions 1045 to 1382 of the family's 1533-position model. Lineage: Bacteria; Pseudomonadati; Pseudomonadota; Betaproteobacteria; Burkholderiales; Comamonadaceae. The record is from RNAcentral.
AUGGUUGUCGUCAGCUCGUGUCGUGAGAUGUUGGGUUAAGUCCCGCAACGAGCGCAACCCUCGACCUUAGUUGCCAUCUGGUAAUGCAGGGACUCUAGCGAAACUGCCACGUAAGGUGAGAGGAAGUGGGGAUGACGUCAAAUCAGCACGGCCCUUAUGUCCAGGGCUACACACGUGUUACAAUGGUCGGUACAGAGGGCAGCUACCUGGUGACAGGAUGACUAAUACUCGAAAACCGGUCUCAGUUCGGAUCGAAGUCUGCAACUCGACUUCGUGAAGCUGGAUUCGCUAGUAAUCGCGCAUCAGCUAUGGCGCGGUGAAUACGUUCCCGGGCCUU